GACGAACGCUGGCGGCGUGCCUAAUACAUGCAAGUUGAGCGCUGAAGGUUGGUACUUGUACCGACUGGAUGAGCAGCGAACGGGUGAGUAACGCGUGGGGAAUCUGCCUUUGAGCGGGGGACAACAUUUGGAAACGAAUGCUAAUACCGCAUAAAAACUUUAAACACAAGUUUUAAGUUUGAAAGAUGCAAUUGCAUCACUCAAAGAUGAUCCCGCGUUGUAUUAGCUAGUUGGUGAGGUAAAGGCUCACCAAGGCGAUGAUACAUAGCCGACCUGAGAGGGGUAUCGGCCACAUUGGGACUGAGACACGGCCCCAACUCCUACGGGAGGCAGCAGUAGGGAAUCUUCGGCAAUGGACGAAAGUCUGACCGAGCCACGCCGCGUGAGUGAAGAAGGUUUUCGGAUCGUAAAACUCUGUCGGUAGAGAAGAACGUUGGUGAGAGUGGAAAGCGCAUCAAGUGACGGUAACUACCCAGAAAGGGACGGCUAACUACGUG
This 497-nucleotide ribosomal RNA is filed under the name uncultured bacterium. Its description in RNAcentral is "partial 16S ribosomal RNA". It matches the Rfam family "Bacterial small subunit ribosomal RNA", at positions 28 to 507 of the family's 1533-position model. The record is from RNAcentral.